GAUACGUAAUAGUGAAUUGCAGAAUUCAGUGAAUCAUCGAGUCUUUGAACGCACAUUGCGCCCUCCUGGUAUUCCGGAGGGCAUGCCUGUCCGAGCGUCAUUGCUGCCCUCAAGCACGGCUUGUGUGUUGGGCCCCGUCCUCCUUCCGGGGGACGGGGUCCGAAAGGCAGCGGCGGCACCGCGUCCGGUCCUCAAGCGUAUGGGGCUUUGUCACUCGCUUUGUAGGCCUGGCCGGCGCUUGCCGAUCAACCAAACUUUUUAUCAGGUUGACCUCGGAUCAGGUAGGGAUACCCGCUGAACUUAA
Molecule: ribosomal RNA, 304 nt
Filed under: uncultured fungus
Lineage: Eukaryota; Fungi
Description: eukaryotic LSU rRNA
Rfam family: 5.8S ribosomal RNA (bases 1-100)
Source: RNAcentral